Molecule: small nucleolar RNA, 123 nt
Organism: Heteronotia binoei (common prickly gecko)
Lineage: Eukaryota; Metazoa; Chordata; Lepidosauria; Squamata; Gekkonidae
Product: small nucleolar RNA SNORA29
Exons: 1
Source: RefSeq, a predicted model, not a curated record
UUUCCCAUUUUGCGAUCAUUUAUGUUAUAAAUUAAGUGGUUAUGCUUAUGGGAUAAGUGAAAGCUUGUCAGAGUCUGAAGCGGAAGAUAUCUUUUUCCUAUGUGAAUGGCAGAACAGUCUUAC